RNAcentral lists this ribosomal RNA (522 nucleotides) under uncultured bacterium. RNAcentral's name for it is "bacterial SSU rRNA". It matches the Rfam family "Bacterial small subunit ribosomal RNA", at positions 50 to 561 of the family's 1533-position model. The record is from RNAcentral.
AACACAUGCAAGUCGAACGGCAGCACAGAGGAGCUUGCUCCUUGGGUGGCGAGUGGCGGACGGGUGAGGAAUACGUCGGAAUCUGCCUAUUUGUGGGGGAUAACGUAGGGAAACUUACGCUAAUACCGCAUACGACCUACGGGUGAAAGUGGGGGACCGCAAGGCCUCACGCAGAUAGAUGAGCCGACGUCGGAUUAGCUAGUUGGCGGGGUAAAGGCCCACCAAGGCGACGAUCCGUAGCUGGUCUGAGAGGAUGAUCAGCCACACUGGAACUGAGACACGGUCCAGACUCCUACGGGAGGCAGCAGUGGGGAAUAUUGGACAAUGGGCGCAAGCCUGAUCCAGCCAUGCCGCGUGUGUGAAGAAGGCCUUCGGGUUGUAAAGCACUUUUGUCCGGAAAGAAAAGCUUAGGGUUAAUAACCCUGAGUCAUGACGGUACCGGAAGAAUAAGCACCGGCUAACUUCGUGCCAGCAGCCGCGGUAAUACGAANGGUGCAAGCGUUACUCGGAAUUACUGGGCGU